CCUACGGGAGGCAGCAGUGAGGAAUAUUGGUCAAUGGCCGAAAGGCUGAACCAGCCAAGUCGCGUGAGGGAUGACGGCCCUACGGGUUGUAAACUUCUUUUGCCGGGGAGCAAAGCGCGGUACGUGUACCGCCUCGCGAGUACCCUGCGAAUAAGGAUCGGCUAACUCCGUGCCAGCAGCCGCGGUAAUACGGAGGAUCCGAGCGUUAUCCGGAUUUAUUGGGGUUAAGGGGUGCGCAGGCGGAUGCGAAAGUUAGAGGUAAAAUUUCGGGGCCCAACCUCUAACCGCCGUUGAAACUGCGGGGCUGGAGUGGACGAGAGGUAAGCGGAAUGCGUGGUGUAGCGGUGAAAUGCAUAGAUAUCACGCAGAACACCGAUUGCGAAGGCAGCGUACCGGAGUAUAACUGACGUUGAGGCACGAAAGCGUGGGUAGCAAACAGGAUUAGAUACCCGUGUAGUC
This 459-nucleotide ribosomal RNA is filed under the name uncultured bacterium. Its description in RNAcentral is "partial 16S ribosomal RNA". It matches the Rfam family "Bacterial small subunit ribosomal RNA", at positions 338 to 795 of the family's 1533-position model. The record is from RNAcentral.